CCCAAUAAUAUAUAUAUAUAUAUAUAUAUAAUAUAAUCAAAAAUAUAUAUAUAAAUUUAGGUAGGCUCGCGAGCUUUCAACCCGAGUACUUGCUUGAUGUGGGAUAAUUGAGUAAAGGGAAUACAAAAUGGCUGUUCUCAGAUUUGAACUGGCAGCAAACUAAAAACAGUGAUAUCUUGGCACACAAAGCUCUGAUUCUAAUGAUUCCAAAGCCAAAAGAAAGUUAAGAUUCUGAACUAUGAAAAGCACAUAUGAAUCAUCCAAAACCACAAAGGAAACAUGAAGAACCAACUCGAAAUAAUUUGCCAUCUGGCAGUGGUGAAAAUGGUGAAAAAAUGGAUUUGGAUAGAUAAAAGCCCACCACCCUAAGGAACCUAAAACCUUAGAGACACAGAGCAAGAUGCACUCACCACCCCAAGGAUACAAGACUAGCCACUACCUUAGAGAAAUAGAAAUGUUAAGUCAGUUCACCACUCAAUGGAAUCCACCAAAGAGAUACAAAACUAGAGAAGAAAGCACAAAAGGCUCUUCAAAUUUUUUAAUAUAAUUAGUUCAAAAGUCCCCUUAACACUACAUAAGAAACAUAUAAAUAGAUAGCCAUGGAACAUCCCUCCAAGCAUAGGAAAAUGGAUAAUUUAAUGACUAAUUUCAUUCUUAGCAAGC
This 663-nucleotide long non-coding RNA is filed under the name Elaeis guineensis (African oil palm). RNAcentral describes it as "long non-coding RNA (EGUI_LNC043202)". The record is from RNAcentral. Lineage: Eukaryota; Viridiplantae; Streptophyta; Magnoliopsida; Arecales; Arecaceae.